This 497-nucleotide ribosomal RNA is filed under the name uncultured bacterium. Its description in RNAcentral is "partial 16S ribosomal RNA". It matches the Rfam family "Bacterial small subunit ribosomal RNA", at positions 28 to 507 of the family's 1533-position model. The record is from RNAcentral.
GAUGAACGCUGGCGGCGUGCCUAAUACAUGCAAGUCGAGCGAACAGAUGAGGAGCUUGCUCCUCUGACGUUAGCGGCGGACGGGUGAGUAACACGUGGAUAACCUACCUAUAAGACUGGGAUAAUUUCGGGAAACCGGAGCUAAUACCGGAUAAUAUAUUGAACCGCAUGGUUCAAUAGUGAAAGACGGUUUUGCUGUCACUUAUAGAUGGAUCCGCGCCGCAUUAGCUAGUUGGUAAGGUAACGGCUUACCAAGGCAACGAUGCGUAGCCGACCUGAGAGGGUGAUCGGCCACACUGGAACUGAGAUACGGUCCAGACUCCUACGGGAGGCAGCAGUAGGGAAUCUUCCGCAAUGGGCGAAAGCCUGACGGAGCAACGCCGCGUGAGUGAUGAAGGUCUUCGGAUCGUAAAACUCUGUUAUUGGGGAAGAACAAAUGUGUAAGUAACUAUGCACGUCUUGACGGUACCUAAUCAGAAAGCCACGGCUAACUACGUG